UACGGAGGGUGCAAGCGUUAUCCGGAUUCACUGGGUUUAAAGGGUGCGUAGGUGGGUCUGUAAGUCAGUGGUGAAAUCUCCGUGCUUAACAUGGAAACUGCCAUUGAUACUAUAGGUCUUGAAUUUUCUGGAGGUAAGCGGAAUAUGUCAUGUAGCGGUGAAAUGCUUAGAUAUGACAUAGAACACCAAUUGCGAAGGCAGUUCACUACGGGAUCAUUGACACUGAGGCACGAAAGCGUGGGGAUCAAACAGG
RNAcentral lists this ribosomal RNA (253 nucleotides) under uncultured bacterium. Its description in RNAcentral is "partial 16S ribosomal RNA". It matches the Rfam family "Bacterial small subunit ribosomal RNA", at positions 524 to 776 of the family's 1533-position model. The record is from RNAcentral.